GUUCUCUGGGACUUUGCUCUUUGCUCUUUGACUAUUCUUUAUAUUAUACUGGAAUUGUUUUCUGUUUGUGAGAUUCUCUUCACAUUCUUUUUCUGCUCCUCAAUUCCAGACAUUGUGGCUUUUCCGAAACUAGAUGUUGAGGAAUUUAAAGCAAGAAUACUGUAGCAACCAGUGAGAUGCAUGGAAUAUUUAACUGUAGAAAAAUUGGCAUUCGGAUUAAUUCCUAUAGGCAUAGUUUUUGUGUGUAUAUCCAAAGGAUAAUGCCAUCCUUUGAGACUGUCUUGGAACAGUCAUUUGAAGUGACUGUCAAGGCCAAAAAAAAAAAAAAGAAGAAGAAUCAACAAAGACAACAAGAGUGGAGAUGAAGUGACUCUGCUAGGUGGAGUUAUUUAGCGAAGAGCAUUCUCUCCCUUUAUUAUGCAGCUGCCUCUGCUUUAAAAACAGAAACUUUUACAAGCUUUGUGGCAGAAUUCUUGGUUGAAAGUUGUGAAAGGAUUUUGAUCUAAAAUGGAACCAGAGGAUGUGAAACGGAGAAUCUCACGCAAGUGCCCUCAGAAGAACAGACCUUAAGAACUGAGAGACUGAUUUCCUGUAAAUGCCUGAUUCACAGAAGACGGAGACUUAUCUCCUGACCAGUGAACGUCCACCAAGAGUCUCUCCCCAUCCUCAAGCCAGGGAACUUACUGCUUGGACUCUGGCUGGACUUCCCCCCGCUUUGUAUUCCCUGCCCAUAAAUACAGCCCGCCCCAAACCCUCCAUGGACAAGCCUGUAGUUUGCUACAGCAUGUGUUUCCCAGAUUGCAAUUCCUCUGCUAAUACCAAAUAAACUCAAUUUCUGGUAAUUUGAGCUUGUUUGUUUACUUCUUUAUUUAGGUUGGCAAAGUUAUAGAAGCCAAACUCAAACUAGCUUAGGCAAAAUAGGAAAUCCACUUACACGGGUAACUGGGACGGACAAGGGUGGAAGCAGGAUUCAGGCACAGCUCUCUCCAAGGUUUCGCAUAUCCUCAGGGCUCACUCUGGGUCCCUAUCUCAGCUCUUUUCCCUCUGUACGCUGCCUCUUUUUCUCUUAAGCACACAGUUGUUUCAUGUAGCCAGGAAAGAUGGCCUUUUGCAGUUCCA
This 1119-nucleotide long non-coding RNA is filed under the name Equus asinus (donkey). RNAcentral's name for it is "lncRNA (ENSEASG00005031149.1)". The record is from RNAcentral. Lineage: Eukaryota; Metazoa; Chordata; Mammalia; Perissodactyla; Equidae.